Molecule: long non-coding RNA, 212 nt
Filed under: Elaeis guineensis (African oil palm)
Lineage: Eukaryota; Viridiplantae; Streptophyta; Magnoliopsida; Arecales; Arecaceae
Description: long non-coding RNA (EGUI_LNC074665)
Source: RNAcentral
AGAUUAAAAGAAACAUACCAAGAAGAAGAGGAGAAGAGGGGUGUUGUGAGAGAGAUGUUGGGGCAUCCAACUCUUGGAUGCCUCCUCCUUGUUUUGGGCGACAUGGAGAAGGGAGGGAUGCCUCUCUUUUCAUGCAUGGAAGAGAGGAAAGAAGGGGGGCAGCUCUUCACUAUGUGGCAUGGGGUUUCUUCAUGAUGAAAGGGUUGUGGCGU